AAAACUUAAGAAAGAAUCAUUAUUCUAUUAAUUU
This 34-nucleotide transfer RNA is filed under the name Zygaena marcuna. Its description in RNAcentral is "partial transfer RNA-Ser". The record is from RNAcentral. Lineage: Eukaryota; Metazoa; Arthropoda; Insecta; Lepidoptera; Zygaenidae.